UGUUUGUGAAACUAACUUUUAAUGGCUGAGC
Molecule: non-coding RNA, 31 nt
Filed under: Mus musculus (house mouse)
Lineage: Eukaryota; Metazoa; Chordata; Mammalia; Rodentia; Muridae
Source: RNAcentral